UAAAAUCUCGCAAAUUUUUAUAGCAGAAUUUUGGGAUACAUAAAGGCAACUUCAUCCUAAUGUUAAUCUAAUGUCACAGCCAACAACACCGUAGAGUUGAAUGGAAGCACUGGUAGAGCUGGAGUAGAGAUGGAGCUUGCGAGUACAAAUUUGAUGUCAACACCCUUUUUCAUAAGUUGAUAAGCUUCCUUCCCUUCAUAGGUCUAUUUUAGCACUGAAACCUAUACUCAAUUAAUCUGAAGCAAGUCCGUAGGCCGUAACCGUAGUGGACAAAUACCCACACGAGGGAUGUACUGAGUAGUAGACUAGUAGUAGUGUUU
Molecule: long non-coding RNA, 320 nt
Filed under: Coffea arabica (coffee)
Lineage: Eukaryota; Viridiplantae; Streptophyta; Magnoliopsida; Gentianales; Rubiaceae
Description: long non-coding RNA (CARA_LNC006152)
Source: RNAcentral